UACAGAGGGUGCAAACGUUGUUCGGAUUUACUGGGCGUAAAGCGCGUGUAGGCCGCUCUGCAAGUCGGAUGUGAAAGCCCUGGGCUUAACCUAGGAAGUGCACUCGAAACUGCAGAGCUUGAAUCCUGGAGAGGAAGGCGGAAUUCUCGGUGUAGAGGUGAAAUUCGUAGAUAUCGAGAGGAACACCGGUGGCGAAGGCGGCCUUCUGGACAGUGAUUGACGCUGAGACGCGAAAGCGUGGGGAGCAAACAGG
RNAcentral lists this ribosomal RNA (253 nucleotides) under uncultured bacterium. RNAcentral's name for it is "partial 16S ribosomal RNA". It matches the Rfam family "Bacterial small subunit ribosomal RNA", at positions 524 to 776 of the family's 1533-position model. The record is from RNAcentral.